Molecule: ribosomal RNA, 258 nt
Filed under: uncultured bacterium
Lineage: Bacteria
Description: partial 16S ribosomal RNA
Rfam family: Bacterial small subunit ribosomal RNA
Source: RNAcentral
UACGUAGGGUGCGAGCGUUGUCCGGAAUUAUUGGGCGUAAAGAGCUCGUAGGCGGUUUUGUUGCGUCGGCUGUGAAAACCUGAGGCUCAACCUCAGGCCUGCAGUCGAUACGAGCAGACUAGAGUGUUGCAGGGGAGACUGGAAUUCCUGGUGUAGCGGUGAAAUGCGCAGAUAUCAGGAGGAACACCGGUGGCGAAGGCGGGGUCUCUGGGCAACAACUGACGCUGAGGAGCGAAAGCGUGGGGGAGCAAAACAGGG